This 74-nucleotide transfer RNA is filed under the name Sus scrofa (pig). It matches the Rfam family "tRNA". From Rfam's summary of the family: Transfer RNA (tRNA) molecules are approximately 80 nucleotides in length. Their secondary structure includes four short double-helical elements and three loops (D, anti-codon, and T loops). Lineage: Eukaryota; Metazoa; Chordata; Mammalia; Artiodactyla; Suidae. The record is from Rfam by way of RNAcentral.
UCCCAGGUGGCCUAGCGGGUUAAUGAUCCAGCGUUGUCACUGCUGUGGCAUGGGUUCGAUCCCUGGCCUGGGAA